AACUGCAUUACGCUUACCGGGGAGUCCUUCGGGACAGGAUGACAGGUGGUGCAUGGUUGUCGUCAGCUCGUGUCGUGAGAUGUUGGGUUAAGUCCCGCAACGAGCGCAACCCCUAUUGUUAGUUGCUACCAUUAAGUUGAGCACUCUAGCGAGACUGCCUAGGUUAACUAGGAGGAAGGCGGGGAUGACGUCAAAUCAUCAUGCCCCUUAUGUCUAGGGCUACACACGUGCUACAAUGGAUAGUACAAUAAGACGCAAUAUCGUGAGGUGGAGCAAAUCUUAUAAAACUAUUCUCAGUUCGGAUUGUAGGCUGAAACUCGCCUACAUGAAGUUGGAGUUGCUAGUAAUCGCGAAUCAGAAUGUCGCGGUGAAUACGUUCCCGGGUCUGUAACACACCGA
Molecule: ribosomal RNA, 399 nt
Filed under: uncultured Eubacteriales bacterium
Lineage: Bacteria; Bacillati; Bacillota; Clostridia; Eubacteriales
Description: bacterial SSU rRNA
Rfam family: Bacterial small subunit ribosomal RNA
Source: RNAcentral